GGGGAUGUAGCUCAUUUGGCAGAGCGCGUCAUUAGCAUCUUCAAGGAAGUUGAAUUGACGAGGUACCGGGUUCAAUUCCCUGCUUCUCCAACA
This is a non-coding RNA of Kwoniella bestiolae CBS 10118, 93 nucleotides long. The record is from the annotation of a GenBank genome assembly. Lineage: Eukaryota; Fungi; Basidiomycota; Tremellomycetes; Tremellales; Cryptococcaceae.